Molecule: transfer RNA, 72 nt
Filed under: Paramecium tetraurelia
Lineage: Eukaryota; Ciliophora; Oligohymenophorea; Peniculida; Parameciidae
Description: tRNA-Ile for anticodon GAU
Rfam family: tRNA
About the family: Transfer RNA (tRNA) molecules are approximately 80 nucleotides in length. Their secondary structure includes four short double-helical elements and three loops (D, anti-codon, and T loops). Further hydrogen bonds mediate the characteristic L-shaped molecular structure. tRNAs have two regions of fundamental functional importance: the anti-codon, which is responsible for specific mRNA codon recognition, and the 3' end, to which the tRNAs corresponding amino acid is attached (by aminoacyl-tRNA synthetases). tRNAs cope with the degeneracy of the genetic code in two manners: having more than one tRNA (with a specific anti-codon) for a particular amino acid; and 'wobble' base-pairing, i.e. permitting non-standard base-pairing at the 3rd anti-codon position.
Source: Rfam by way of RNAcentral
GUGCUUGUAGAUUAACGGAUAGAUCAUCAGUCUGAUAAGCUGAAGGCGAAGGUUCGAUCCCUUCCAAGCAUA